RNAcentral lists this ribosomal RNA (468 nucleotides) under uncultured bacterium. RNAcentral's name for it is "partial 16S ribosomal RNA". It matches the Rfam family "Bacterial small subunit ribosomal RNA", at positions 28 to 507 of the family's 1533-position model. The record is from RNAcentral.
GACGAACGCUGGCGGCGUGCUUAACACAUGCAAGUCGAACGGAAAGGCCCUGCUUUUGUGGGGUGCUCGAGUGGCGAACGGGUGAGUAACACGUGAGUAACCUGCCCUUGACUUUGGGAUAACUUCAUGCAACUGGGGCUAAUACCGGAUAGGAGCUCCUGCUGCAUGGUGGGGGUUGGAAAGUUUCGGCGGUUGGGGAUGGACUCGCGGCUUAUCCGCUUGUUGGUGGGGUAGUGGCUUAGCAAGGCUUGGAAGGGUGGCCGUCCUGGGAGGGUGACCGGCCACAUUGGGACUGAGAUGCGGCCCAGACUCCUACGGUACGCAGCAGUGGAGAAUAUUGCACAAGGGGCGGAAGCCUGAUGCAGCAACGCCGCGUGCGGUAUGACGGCCUUCGGUUUGUAAUCCGCAUCCGCCUGUGACGAAGCGUGAGUGACGGUAAUGGGUAAAGAAGCACCGGCUAACUACGUG